Molecule: ribosomal RNA, 539 nt
Filed under: Teratosphaeria mexicana
Lineage: Eukaryota; Fungi; Ascomycota; Dothideomycetes; Mycosphaerellales; Teratosphaeriaceae
Description: eukaryotic LSU rRNA
Rfam family: 5.8S ribosomal RNA (bases 176-329)
Source: RNAcentral
UCCGUAGGUGAACCUGCGGAGGGAUCAUUACCGAGUGAGGGCCCCCGGCCCGACCUCCUACCCCAUGUGACCUCACUAUGUUGCCUCGGGGGCGACCCGGCCUUCGGGCUGUUUGCCCCCGGCGGACACCUCAACUCUGCAUCUUUGCGUCGGAGUCUUAUGAUAAAUCAAUCAAAACUUUCAACAACGGAUCUCUUGGUUCUGGCAUCGAUGAAGAACGCAGCGAAAUGCGAUAAGUAAUGUGAAUUGCAGAAUUCAGUGAAUCAUCGAAUCUUUGAACGCACAUUGCGCCCUCUGGUAUUCCGGGGGGCAUGCCUGUUCGAGCGUCAUUUCACCACUCAAGCCUCGCUUGGUAUUGGGCGCCGCGGCCUUCCGCGCGCCCCAAUGUCUCCGGCUGAGCCAUCUAUCUCAGAGCGUUGUGGUAAACGUUCCGCUUGCGAGUGCGAUGGCUGUGCGCCGUUAAACCCUUUUCUAUCAAAGGUUGACCUCGGAUCAGGUAGGGAUACCCGCUGAACUUAAGCAUAUCAAUAAGCGGAGGA